AUCCGGCUGACGAGUUCCAAAUAGGACGAGGUGCGCGUCGUGGAU
This 45-nucleotide non-coding RNA is filed under the name Schistosoma mansoni. Lineage: Eukaryota; Metazoa; Platyhelminthes; Trematoda; Strigeidida; Schistosomatidae. The record is from RNAcentral.